GAUGAACGCUGGCGGCGUGCCUAAUACAUGCAAGUCGAACGCUUAGCGAAAGCUUCUUGCACCUUUUAAGUGCGUGCCGAACGGUUGCGUAACACGAGGCCACCCUGCCCCAAGGCUUGGGCUAACAUUUGUAAACAGAUGCUAAUACCGAAUAAACCUUCGUGUCGCAUGACUCAAAGUUAAAUGGCGCUUCGGCGUCACCUCGCGAUGGAUCCGCGGUGCAUUAGUUAGUUGGUGGGGUAAAGGCCUACCAAGACAAUGAUGCAUAGCCGAGGUGAGAGACGGGUCGGCCACAUUGGGACUUAGACACGGCCCAAGCUCCUACGGGAGGCUGCAGAAGGGAAUCUGCCACAAUGGGCGAAAGCCUGAUGGAGCAACGCCGAGUGUGUGGUGAAGGCUUUCGGGGAGGAAAGCACGGUUGUAGGGGAAGAACAGCUAGAAGAGGAAAUGAUGUGAGUUUGACGGUACCAUACCAGAAAGGGACGGCUAAAUACGUG
RNAcentral lists this ribosomal RNA (497 nucleotides) under uncultured bacterium. RNAcentral's name for it is "partial 16S ribosomal RNA". It matches the Rfam family "Bacterial small subunit ribosomal RNA", at positions 28 to 507 of the family's 1533-position model. The record is from RNAcentral.